UCGACGAGAGACCUUCGGGUCUCUAGUGGCGAACGGGUGAGUAACACGUAGGGAACCUGCCCGCGCACCGGGAAUACGCUCUGGAAACGGAGAACAAAUCCCGAUGUACAGGAAGGAGGCAUCUUCUUUCUGUGAAACAUCCUCUAGGGGAUGGGGCGCGGAUGGACCUGCGGUGCAUUAGUUUGUUGGCGGGGUAAAGGCCCACCAAGACGAUGAUGCAUAGCCGGCCUGAGAGGGCGGACGGCCACAUUGGGACUGAGACACGGCCCAGACUCCUGCGGGAGGCAGCAGUAGGGAAUUUUCGUCAAUGGGCGCAACCCUGAUGCAGCGACGCCGCGUGAGUGAAGAAGUAAUUCGUUAUGUAAAGCUCUAUCAGCAGGGAAGAAAAUGACGGUACCUGAGUAAGAAGCCCCGGCUAACUACGUGCCAGCAGCCGCGGUAAUACGUAGGUGGCGAGCGUUAUCCGGAAUGAUUGGGCGUAAAGGGUGCGCAGGCGGUCCUGCAAGUCUGGAGUGAAACGCAUGAGCUCAACUCAUGCAUGGCUUUGGAAACUGGAGGACUGGAGAGCAGGAGAGGGCGGUGGAACUCCAUGUGUAGCGGUAAAAUGCGUAGAUAUAUGGAAGAACACCAGUGGCGAAGGCGGCCGCCUGGCCUGUUGCUGACGCUGAGGCACGAAAGCGUGGGGAGCAAAUAGGAUUAGAUACCCUAGUAGUCCACGCCGUAAACGAUGAGGACCAAGUGUUGGGGGUGAAACCUCAGUGCUGAAGUUAACGCAGUGAGUCCUCCGCCUGGGGAGUAUGCACGCAAGUGUGAAACUCAAAGGAAUUGACGGGGGCCCGCACAAGCGGUGGAGUAUGUGGUUUAAU
RNAcentral lists this ribosomal RNA (866 nucleotides) under uncultured bacterium. Its description in RNAcentral is "bacterial SSU rRNA". It matches the Rfam family "Bacterial small subunit ribosomal RNA", at positions 62 to 950 of the family's 1533-position model. The record is from RNAcentral.